GACGAACGCUGGCGGCGUGCUUAACACGUGCAAGUCGAACGAGACGAUUGAAAGCUUGCUUUUAAAAGUCGAGUGGCAAACGGGUGAGUAACGCGUAGACAACCUGCCUUUGAGAUGGGGACAACAGUUCGAAAGGACUGCUAAUACCGAAUGUUGUAUAUUUUCCACAUGGAAGAUAUAUUAAAGAUGGCCUCUAUUUAUAAGCUAUCGCUCAAAGAUGGGUCUGCGUCUGAUUAGCUAGUUGGUGGGGUAACGGCCUACCAAGGCGACGAUCAGUAGCCGGUCUGAGAGGAUGAACGGCCACAUUGGGACUGAGACACGGCCCAGACUCCUACGGGAGGCAGCAGUGGGGAAUCUUCCACAAUGGACGAAAGUCUGAUGGAGCAACGCCGCGUGAGUGAAGAAGGGUUUCGGCUCGUAAAGCUCUGUUGUCGGGGACGAAUGUGCAGUAUUUGAAUAAAGUACUGCAAUGACGGUACCUGACGAGGAAGCCACGGCUAACUACGUGCCAGCCGCCGCGGUAA
This 524-nucleotide ribosomal RNA is filed under the name uncultured bacterium. RNAcentral's name for it is "partial 16S ribosomal RNA". It matches the Rfam family "Bacterial small subunit ribosomal RNA", at positions 28 to 523 of the family's 1533-position model. The record is from RNAcentral.